CCUACGGGAGGCAGCAGUGGGGAAUAUUGCACAAUGGGGGAAACCCUGAUGCAGCGACGCCGCGUGAGUGAAGAAGUAAUUCGUGAUGUAAAGCUCUAUCAGCAGGGAAGAAAAGGACGGUACCUGAGUAAGAAGCCCCGGCUAACGACGUGCCAGCAGCCGCGGUAAUACGUAGGGGGCAAGCGUUAUCCGGAUUGACUGGGUGUAAAGGGAGCGUAGACGGCAGUGCAAGUCUGGAGUGAAAGGCGGGGGCUCAACCCCCGGACUGCUCUUGAACCGGUACGGCUGGAGUGCAGGAGAGGUAAGUGUCAUUCCUCGUGUAGCGGUGACCUGCGUAGAUAUUCGGCG
This 348-nucleotide ribosomal RNA is filed under the name uncultured bacterium. RNAcentral's name for it is "partial 16S ribosomal RNA". It matches the Rfam family "Bacterial small subunit ribosomal RNA", at positions 338 to 703 of the family's 1533-position model. The record is from RNAcentral.